RNAcentral lists this long non-coding RNA (2467 nucleotides) under Homo sapiens (human). RNAcentral's name for it is "non-protein coding lnc-C19orf57-1:1". The record is from RNAcentral. Lineage: Eukaryota; Metazoa; Chordata; Mammalia; Primates; Hominidae.
AUAGGGGCCUCUGCAGCCAUGGUCAUGCCACCCUGCCCUGGACCUGUGACUUGCCACCCACUUCUAGGGGUUCCAGUCUUGCCCUCACCUCCUUGCCCUCCUGAGCUCGGACCACAGAGAAAACCUCCUACAUCCCGUCCCUCCGUGGGGCAGCAGACAUGGUACUGAAAUGUGCCACGCAUUGUCUCACUAUGAAUUCACGGGAUUCUCAAACCACCCGAGAGGCAGGGUGUUUGUUCUUGCUACUGCCCUGUAACAGAUGCGGAAAUUGAUUCUCCGUGAGGUUGCAGAGUUUAACACAGGAGAUUCACGUGCAGAAUCUGGGUGUCCCAAACUUGCUGCCCCGCAGUGUCACUGCGUGAUCAUCUCAGCUGCUUUAAAUGCCAGUGGUGGGUUACUGCACCCUCCAGUGUCGCUUCUUUUACUGACGGGUAAACUGAGGCAAGGAGCCUUGAAGUCACAGAUCAAGAGUCAAGAGUAAGAGGCAGGGCUGGGAUUCGAACCGAGUCCGAGAGCCCGGGACCUGCUCCGCCGCUUCCCCACGGGCCUCCGGCGCCCACUUGGGGGCUAAGGCGCCCCCGCCGCCGGGCCCCUCCGGACGCCGAGGCCAGCCGAGAUCGGGCCGCCGGCCAGGCUGCUGGGCGCCGCGCCCGUCCGCAUCACGCCGCGGUGAGUCACCGCGCGCCGGCCCCGGCCCCGCCCCCCGCGCCAACAAACAGCGCGUUGCUCGGCAACCGCCACCGCCCUCCAGCGCGGACCUGGGUUCGAGCCUCAGGCCGGGGUGCGCGCUAAGAGGGAUUUUGGGACUCCGUAGUCUUCCCUAGAUUAGGGGUUCAGAUCAGGCCUGUAAUCCUGGUGGGCACGGAGGUGAUGGUGAAGGAGACAGCUGUGGUCCAAUGAAGGUGGGGAGGGCUGAGGGUGGCUCUCUCCAAUCCAGACCCACCGGGGCUCCCCAGAAGUGGGCGGUCAGGUCAGGAGAUGGCGGCUGGGCCAGAGUUGCAGCUGAGAGGUCGAGGCCAUUUUCCUAAGGGAUUUGGGGAGCUGGCCUGGCGGGAGCUGUCAGGAGCGCUGUGAUGAGGGCUUUUUUGCAUCCUCCCCACCCCUGCCGACCUCCCAAACUAGCUAACACUUAAUGAGCACGUUCUAUGUUCUAAGCCUGUUCUAUGCAUGUGUGGGCCUAUGUGUAUUAACUCAUGUAAUGUUCACCAUGAAGUCGGGCGCGGCGGCUCACGCCUAUAAUCCCAGCACUUUAGGAAGCCGAAGCCCGUGGAUCACUUGAUGUCAGGAGUUCAAGACCAGCCUGGGCAAAAUGGUGAAACCCCGUCUGUACUAAAAAUACAAAAAUUAGCCGAGCGUGAUGGCCAGCACCUCUAAUCCCAGCUACUUGGGAGACCGAGGCAGGAGAAUCGCUUGAACCCGGGAGGCAGAGGUUGCAGUGGGCCAAGAUCGUGCCACUGCACUCCAGCCUGGGUGACAAGAGUGAAACUCCGUCUCAAAAAAUAAUAAUAAUAAAAAUUAAAAAUAGUGUUCACCAUGGCCCUCUGACGUUUCAUUGACAUUCUCAUUUUACAGAUGGGGAAACUGAGUCAACAGAGGGUCAAUGUCCUUUGCCAGAGGAUGCACAGCCAAGCUGGCAUCCGGGCUCCCAAACCUGUCUCAGGAGGGUGCAUGCCUGGCCUUGGCAGGGCCAUAUCUGUGGGAGUCUUCAGGCGUUGUGGGGAUAGGUGCCAAGGCUACAUUGAAGUGUGGGUAGGUUAUGCAAGUGGGGGAUGGCGCCUGGUGGGCUCCUUGGGGGCUGUCGACACAUGAUACUGAAGGCUGUGCACUACAGAGGUUGCACCAGCACCCCCCUAGACUUCCCAUGCCAUCUGAGUGCAGGGAGAGAGUUUCCCAGCACCAGCUUCAGAUGGCCUGAACUCCGGGCUCCCUGGCACCCCAAUAGUCACCACUGAGCCGCCCACAGGACCCUUAAGGGAGCUGCCUGAGGGGCCUUCCGGAGCCCCAGAUCCUAUGGGGCGGGGAGAAGAGUAGAUACUAGCAUCUCAGACACGGAGAUGGACCAGCUGCCUGGGAAGUGACCAGCUUUGAGUCCUGUAAGAAAUGUCCAUUUGGCUCACAUGACCAAGUCAAUCACUCAAAUGGUUGAGUUGGGGAGAUGGCUGAGUUACAGGGAUCCUGGACAGUCUAAAGCCAAGAAGGUGAGGAGGGCUUCUCGGAGGAGGUGAUACCCUGGGAACUGAAGGAUGCUCGGGAGUUGGCGAAUAACAGGCAGGACCUUCCUGCGGGAGAGGUUGGGACACCAGGAACUUUUCCAAGUGGAAGGUAGAGGGGACACGUGAUUGGAUUUAACGGGCUGUCUCUGGAGAAUGGCUAGAAGGCAUAAGGAAAGUCGGAGAGGACCAGGGAGGUGGCUGUUGGAAUAUAUUUAGGCCAGAGAUGAUGGUGACUUAAGGAUACAGUUGGCAGA